UUUAACUGAGCGUUCAGUUACUUGACGUAGACCCGAAACCGGGCGACCUACCCAUGAGCAGGAUGAAGCGAAAGUAAAAUUUCGUGGAGGUCCGAACCCACGAGCGUUGAAAAGCUCGGGGAUGACUUGUGGGUAGCGGUGAAAUUCCAAUCGAGCCCGGAGAUAGCUGGUUCUCCCCGAAAUAGCUUUAGGGCUAGCCUCAAGGUGAGAGAUACGGAGGUAGAGCACUGAAUGUCCUAGGGGGUAUUGCACCUACCGAAGACUAUCAAACUCCGAAUGCCGUCAUCUUAUACUUGGGAGUCAGACUGUGGGUGAUAAGAUUCAUAGUCGAAAGGGCAACAGCCCAGAUCGUCAGCUAAGGUCCCUAAAUGUAAGUUAAGUGGUAAAGGAUGUGGGAUUGCACAGACAACCAGGAUGUUGGCUUAGAAGCAGCCACUCAUUCAAAGAGUGCGUAAUAGCUCACUGGUCGAGUGAUCCUGCGCCGAAGAUUUCCGGGGCUAAAACUUACUACCGAAGCUACGGCAUCAGUAAUGAUGGGUAGGGGAGCUUCCCAUACGGGUUGAAGCAUGACCGUAAGGACAUGUGGACAGUAUGGGAGUGAGAAUGUUGGCAUGAGUAGCGAGAUGUGGGUGAGAAUCCCACAGGCCGUAAACCCAAGGUUUCCAGGGGAAGGUUCGUCCGCCCUGGGUUAGUCGGGACCUAAGCUGA
Molecule: ribosomal RNA, 708 nt
Filed under: Clostridioides difficile
Lineage: Bacteria; Bacillati; Bacillota; Clostridia; Peptostreptococcales; Peptostreptococcaceae
Description: partial 23S ribosomal RNA
Rfam family: Bacterial large subunit ribosomal RNA
Source: RNAcentral